Daucus carota subsp. sativus is the source of this 1232-nucleotide long non-coding RNA. RefSeq lists it as uncharacterized. The transcript is spliced from 5 exons. The record is from RefSeq and is a predicted model, not a curated record. NCBI's taxonomy places the organism in Eukaryota, Viridiplantae, Streptophyta, Magnoliopsida, Apiales, Apiaceae.
UUAUCUUUCAUUUAGAAAAUUCAAAUAUCAGAAGAUUCAUUAUUUUCUCCAAAGCUGCUUUUUCCUCUUCCCCCCAAAACUGCUCCUCUUCUCUCCAGUGAAGCCGCUUCGUCUCUCAUUCUCUUCUUAGUAAACGAAUACUGUUUUUAAUGGACCGGGGAAGAGAAACUCAUGCUGCUGAUGGGUUGUACCAUGAUUGGAGGACUGAUAAAAACGCUUUGGUUUCGCCGGUUCUUUCCGAUGAGAUCUGUAUCUGGAUUGUUAGAAAUCUGGAUUCUUUAAAAAAUUCAUUUCGUUAAUCUGUUCCUGUUAUAAUUUUCACAUCUCUCUAAAUCUUUUCGUUACGACAUAUACCAUGUAGGUAAUCCUGUUCCAGCAGUUAACUUGAUCGGACCGGUCUCGCAGCCGGUUGCGGUCACUUUUCAUGCAGUACGCAGCGUAGAACUCCUUUGUCGGAUGUUUCUAAUCAUUCUUUCUUGCGAAGUACGCAGAAAUCAACGGCACACUCUCCUCAAGAAAUUAUGAUACAUAUGCCUGGUCUGUUGUGCGAUGAAAAUUUCCAGUUGUUAUGUCCUCCAAAUUUGACGCCGGAACCUGAUGUGCAAUCUCAGAGGCGUUGCCUCCCCCUAUUUCGAGUACCAAUCAAUGUGAAUCUCCGCACGCUGAAUAUUUUCCUCUUGAUCAGAUAAAGUCAAAUAUAAUUUCAAGUAUAAAAGAUACCAAUGAUGAUGAAUAUUGGCAGCAUUAUGAGAAUCUUAAUGCGCGGUAUGAUAAGAAUUUUGCCAAAGGUGUGUGUGCUGUUGAAAAGAUGCCCGGUAUAUCAGUGUUCACGCAUGGCCAGUGCUGUAAGUCGGGUUACCAGUCGACGUGGUCUUAAAAAUUUUCGUUGAUGAUAGCAGUGGACACAGUACAAAUAUACUGAUAAUGUUGUGUUUAAGGAAGUGUUCUACAAUAUACGUGUAACAUAGUAUAUGUAGUGUCCGAUAGAUUGUCUGUAGUUUUUAAGCAUACCAAAUUUGGAGUCUUCAUGUACUCUGUCUUCUGUUUUUAUGCUAUGUUUCUUAUUGUAUUAAGUCAGUUUGAAUAAGUUUGAAAAGUAAGGUAUUACAGUAACUUUGAAAUGGUUUGAUCGCAGAGAUAGUAACACAUCACGAUGAUGUUGUAGUAAAUGCUUGAUGUGUGACGUUGUUAAACUUCUCUUUUGUAUACAAAGCAUUACUGUAUUAGUAUUA